UACGGAGGGUGCAAGCGUUAUCCGGAUUCACUGGGUUUAAAGGGUGCGUAGGUGGGUUGGUAAGUCAGUGGUGAAAUCUCCGAGCUUAACUUGGAAACUGCCGUUGAUACUAUCAAUCUUGAAUCUCGCGUAGGUAAGCGGAAUAUGUCAUGUAGCGGUGAAAUGCUUAGAUAUGACAUAGAACACCAAUUGCGAAGGCAGCUCACUAAGUCAUAACUGACGCUGAUGCACGAAAGCGUGGGGAGCAAACAGG
This 253-nucleotide ribosomal RNA is filed under the name uncultured bacterium. Its description in RNAcentral is "partial 16S ribosomal RNA". It matches the Rfam family "Bacterial small subunit ribosomal RNA", at positions 524 to 776 of the family's 1533-position model. The record is from RNAcentral.